AAAAGCUACUUUCGCAUGAAAGAGUUUAAAAAGGACGGCGUAAGCUGUCGCUAAAGGAUGGACCUGCGAUGCAUUAGCUAGUUGGUAAGGGUAACGGGCUUACCAAGGCGAUGAUGCAUAGCCCGAGUUGAGAGACUGAUCGGGCCACGUUGGGGACUGAGACACGGGCCCAAACUCCUACGGGAGGCAGCAGUAGGGAAUCUUCCACAAUGGACGAAAGUCUGAUGGAGCAAACGCCGCGUGAGUGAAGAAGGUUUUCGGAUCGUAAAGCUCUGUUGUUGGUGAAGAAGGAUAGAGGUAGUAACUGGCCCUUUAUUUGACGGUAAUCAACCAGAAAGUCACGGGCUAACUACGUGCCAGCAGCCGCGGUAAAU
RNAcentral lists this ribosomal RNA (374 nucleotides) under uncultured Lactobacillus sp. RNAcentral's name for it is "bacterial SSU rRNA". It matches the Rfam family "Bacterial small subunit ribosomal RNA", at positions 173 to 525 of the family's 1533-position model. Lineage: Bacteria; Bacillati; Bacillota; Bacilli; Lactobacillales; Lactobacillaceae. The record is from RNAcentral.